Molecule: long non-coding RNA, 265 nt
Filed under: Ananas comosus (pineapple)
Lineage: Eukaryota; Viridiplantae; Streptophyta; Magnoliopsida; Poales; Bromeliaceae
Description: long non-coding RNA (ACOM_LNC041035)
Source: RNAcentral
CAUUGGCGGGUCUUAAUUUAACCCGAUCCACUUAGGAUGUGGAUUAGGACUUAUCCUAAUAGGUUUAGGAUAAUAAUAAAUUAUAUGUUUCUUAUCAGUUAAGAAACUGUUGAAGCAUGAAAAAAAGGGAAGAAAAAAAAGGAGGAAAGAAAAAGUGGAAAGAGAGAAAAUGGUGUAUAAGAUGAUCUAUGCACUAGGUGCAUGGAGAAGAUUUGAGUUCAAAUUUUGAACUAGGUGCAUAGGUUAAUCCAUGAACCAGGUGCAU